AAACCACUUCUUGUCCCCUAAGAAAGUAUCCAAAUCUUUUAGCAGCUCGGGGGCCUUGUUGGUGAGGAUGUCAUUAAAAGCUUUCUCCUUCACAUCCUGAUUUUUCUCUGCCCAGGGGAACAGCAUCAUGAAAUCAUCAAUGGUGUCCACAAUGGCAUCAGCCAAUGCCUGCUCCACUGGAGUCUGACCUGCCAGACCUGAUUCUCUGGCGAGGUAUCUCGCAAUUGCUAGGCUCUGGUGAAUGAUCACUCCAUCUACUUCCAGAAUAGGAACUUUGCCAAAUGGGAUAGUUGGUUUAAUUUUGGGCCAGUCUGCUCCUUCCAACCUGUGGUCUUCAUACUUUAUGCCUGCAUAGGCAAACAGGUAGCGGCAGAUUUCUGCUCUUCCUCGCAGAUUGAAGUACGUCAGCUUGUAGUUGGGCAUGCUGGGUCCUUGGGUGCAGCGGUGUGUGAUCCCUUCCUCAGUGC
Molecule: long non-coding RNA, 467 nt
Filed under: Gallus gallus (chicken)
Lineage: Eukaryota; Metazoa; Chordata; Aves; Galliformes; Phasianidae
Source: RNAcentral